AUGAAAUCCAAUAUUAUCUUACAAUUAUUUCUUGUUCACUUUGUGAAGAAAAUAUUUGCUGAAUCGGAGUCGGAUUAUCCAGGCAGUAUAUGCGGCGGACAGUGUUGUGACGAAAAAACAGAAGUGUUAUUGAGAAAGCAAGGCCAGCGGGACUUCGCAGAUCUACUGCGGCAUAAUUCAAGGUCACUCCAGGGAUUGCUCAUUUCGACGGCAACGACUUUACAAAUUGUCAAGAAGAGUACUUCGACCACGCCACUGAAGUUUACUGCCGCAGUUGCUGUUGAAACGUUUGGAGAUACUAAUUAAAGAAGGUCACGGCAAAACUUGUUAACCAACCAAAACAGUAGUAGAAAGUUUAUAUAUUCCCUCUCAAAAUUUCUCAUUUCAUUUUAACAAUGAAUUAUCUCCCUUCAAUUCUUCAAUCUGUUUUACCAACCAAACACAAGAAGAGAAAGCUUUCCAUACCCAGGUGAUACGAUUUAUAGCAUAUGUGGUAAAUAAUGGCCCACACAGUCUGUUCCCUCUUAGCUCAGUUGGAAAUUUGUGAAAUUGGAAAUUAUACUCACAGAUUGAGAUUUGGUUGUUGAUACUUUUCCUUGGCUUGUCGAUCCAACUGUGUUCACUCGGUAAACUUGGUUGGGAAGGAAAGUUGUGAUAAGGAAAUAUGAGCAAUUCCACAAGGACCAGCUAGCCGAACCUAACACCGUUGUCGAACUUUUGUAAUAACUCA
This 730-nucleotide long non-coding RNA is filed under the name Leptinotarsa decemlineata (Colorado potato beetle). RNAcentral's name for it is "uncharacterized LOC111510273, transcript variant X1". Lineage: Eukaryota; Metazoa; Arthropoda; Insecta; Coleoptera; Chrysomelidae. The record is from RNAcentral.